GCCGGGCAUGGUGGCGGGUGCCUGUAAUCUCAGCUACUUGAGAGGCUGAGGUGGGAGAAUUGCUUGAACCCAGGAGGCGGAGGUUGCAGUGAGUCAAGAUCGCGCCACUGCACUCCAGCCUGGGUGACAGAGCGAGACUCCAUCUUAA
RNAcentral lists this non-coding RNA (148 nucleotides) under Gorilla gorilla gorilla (western lowland gorilla). The record is from Rfam by way of RNAcentral. Lineage: Eukaryota; Metazoa; Chordata; Mammalia; Primates; Hominidae.